Molecule: non-coding RNA, 1301 nt
Organism: Theobroma cacao (cacao)
Lineage: Eukaryota; Viridiplantae; Streptophyta; Magnoliopsida; Malvales; Malvaceae
Source: RefSeq, a predicted model, not a curated record
UAUCUUGAGUUCAUUGGUAUUCACGGCAAGGAAGGAAAAUAUUUCUUUUGCAAGACUUUUUCUAAUUCUUUUUCCCUUCCAAGUGAAAAACCCGACCUUCUCAAAAUCCUCCACAAAGAACUCGAUUCAAGAAGGAAGGUAUGGAAACAAGCAGCCAACCAACUUUGGGUAUUCCACCAUUUUUGAGGAAAAAGAGAUCUAUCAUCAUUUUCCUUAAAAACCCCAUAUAUUUAAAGCUUUCUCCCAAGAGAUUUGAGCUCCUUAGCAUUGAUAUUGGAGUUAGGGAAUUCAUGGUGAAGGUAAGAGCUUUAGUUUUAAGUUAUUAUAGUUGAGAAUAAACGGUUGAAUAUCGUUGUCUUGAUUGUGUAACAAAUAGUAAACUAAAUUUGGAGAAGCUUGUUUCGUGUUCGUUUCUGUUUCAACCCAAGCUUAUGGAAAGUGAUCUCUAGAGAGUUAAGGCUCCACAAUAGAGUUAAGGAGCUGGGAGUUUUAUUUGAGAGGAAGUGCAAAGGUAAAGUUAGAAUACUGUGGUGGUGUGCUGAGGGAAAUAACGAGCGACCGGCAAGUAGGAAUAGCUAGAUACACCUCCCAACAAAUAGCGAUGUAAUAUCCCGCUAUCGUAAGGGGUGGUUGGGACGUAGAUUGAGGUGUCCAUGUGCAUCCAUCUUUUGGUUGGAAGGUGCACCUGUUGCAUGCGCCAUGUCUAGAAGAGACGGUAGUCUCGACACCCCUCAUAGUACUAGUAAGGGAUCCCUAGAUUCCAUUGCUCGGAGUCGAUAUGUGCCCGAAAGUGACAGCGUAACAAGUAACUCGACCCGAUUUUUGAGUGAAUUGGUUCCCCCGAGAGGUAAACCACUAUUUAAGAGCUUAAGGAGUCUCGCAAGACUGGUGCAUAAUGAAAUCGAUUUGAGAAAAAGGAGCACGAACAAGAUGGAAAAAAAAAAGACUGUCAGUAAUUAUCGUCCUAGGAAGGUAUCUGUAUCCGUUGUCUGACACUUUCCUCUUGGUUGUGGGAGAGGUGCUGCAUUUGUUAGUAAGGAGGAAUUUGAGAGGCACCAACAAGCUCAGAUUAAGGAUAAAAUGGGAAAAUCCUAGGAAAUGGAAGAGGACUCGAAAAAGGAUCCAUCGAUGUGCUCGGAUCAAGGCGACGAGAAUCCUAAAAACACUUAAUAUUUUCAUUGAAGUUCUUAUCACUUUAAGUCUAGGCAGAUGUGGUGUAAGGGAAAUAGUAGUAGUAGUUAUCUGUACAAAGGAGUUAAGAGUUGGCCUUUAUUUGUAUGACUCGAACGGAUUAUAAAGUA